RNAcentral lists this ribosomal RNA (1990 nucleotides) under Thelohanellus caudatus. RNAcentral describes it as "SSU rRNA". It matches the Rfam family "Eukaryotic small subunit ribosomal RNA". Lineage: Eukaryota; Metazoa; Cnidaria; Myxozoa; Bivalvulida; Myxobolidae. The record is from RNAcentral.
GGGGCAUUCUCGAGAUAGCCAUGUAUGUGCCAAGUUCAAACGUUAUACGUGAGACUGCGGACGGCUCAUAAAUCAGUGAUAAUCUAUUUGAUUUUCUCUCCCAUUGGAUAACCGUGGGAAAUCUAGAGCUAAUACGUGCGGUAUAUUGGUGUGCCUUCGGGUGCAUCAAAGCAUUUAUUAGACUAAACCAUCUACUGUGCCUCUCAGGCACAGUAAGGGGAAUCUGGAUAACUUUGCUGAUCGUAUGGCCUAGUGCCGGCGACGUUUCAAUUGAGUUUCUGCCCUAUCAACUUGUUGGUAAGGUAUUGGCUUACCAAGGUUGCAACGGGUAACGGGGAAUCAGGGUUCGAUUCCGGAGAGGGAGCCUGAGAAACGGCUACCACAUCCAAGGAAGGCAACAGGCGCGCAAAUUACCCAAUCUAGACAGUAGGAGGUGGUAAAGAGAAUUACUAAGUGGUGGUCCAAUGGAUUACCUGUUUGGAAUGAACGUAACUUAAGAAAUUCGAUGAUAAACAACUGGAGGGCAAGUCCUGGUGCCAGCAGCCGCGGUAAUUCCAGCUCCAGUAGUUUGCUUUAAAGUUGUUGCGUUUAAAACGCUCGUAGUUGGAUCACGCAGCAGUGUCGAGUAAUCUAUCGUUCGAAGACACCCGUUCGACUCGUCACGUACGAUCGACAGGAGAAUUUGGCGUUAGAUGUCAACGCCCGACGUUGCUAGUUGCACGCGAGAUAGGAUGUUGGCCUUAAAUGUGCCGAUAUUCUCGUCUUGCGGAGUGUGCCUUGAAUAAAACAGAGUGCUUAAAGCAGGUCGUUGCCUGAAUGUUAUAGCAUGGAACGAACAAUCGUGUAUAUGUGUGCGUCUUUGUACGGUGAUGAAUCUCUGGUUUAUUGUUGUCGAAGAUGCGCACGGCACCCACCAAAAUAUGGCUGUUGGUUCCAUAUACGGUGAUGAUUAAAGGAGCGGUUGGGGGCAUCAGUAUUGCGCAGAGUGAAAUUCUAGACCGGCCAACGCACUAACAAAUGCAAAGGCACUGUCUAGACCGUUUCCAUUAAUCAAGAACGAAAGUGGGAGGUUGGAAGACGAUCAGAUACCGUCAUAGUUCCCCACCGUAAACUAUGCCGACUUGGGAUCAGCUUGGAGAUGUUACAAGCUGCAAGUUGGUCCCCCUGGGAAACCUCAAGUUUUUCGGUUACGGGGAGAGUAUGGUCGCAAGGCUGAAACUUAAAGGAAUUGACGGAAGGGCACCACCAGGGGUGGAGCCUGCGGCUUAAUUUGACUCAACACGGGGAAACUUACCUGGUCCGGACAUCGAUAGGAUUAUCAGAUCAAUAGCUCUUAUAUGAUUCGAUGAGUGGUGGUGCAUGGCCGUUCUUAGUUCGUGGAGUGAUCUGUCAGCUUUAUUGCGGUAACGAACGAGACCACGUUCUCCAUUUGAGAGAUGAAAGAAGGCUGACGGUAGUAACGACUCUGUUGCUGCUGCUGUUGGCUGCAGGAAGAAUGCAACAUUUAUCUGUGGCUGGGUUGGGGUAACUUAGCCUAACUGCCGAUAGGUGGUUCAUUUCUCCCUUUCAUCGCGCUGCAGUUGGUUUCGGCCGAUUGUAGCCUCAUGGAGGGACAACGAGGUAUAAACAAGCUCGAGGAAGAGUGGCUAUAACAGGUCAGUGAUGCCCUUCGAUGUUCAGGGCUGCACGCGCGCUACAAUGAUAACGACAACGAGUGUCUGCGUCGAAAGACGUGGGUAAUCUUUAAUCGUUAUCGUGAUGGGGAUUGACCGUUGUAAUUAUCGGUCAUGAAAGAGGAAUCCCUAGUAUGCGCAUUUUAUUAGAAUGUGCAGAUUGAGUCCCUGCCCUUUGUACACACCGCCCGUCGCUACUACCGAGUGAAUGGUGUCAUGAUGCGCUGGGACUGGACGUCAGUUGGGUUUUCGGGCUCGGCAGACGCUGGGAUCAGCGUAAAAUGGCGCAAUUCGAGGAAGAAAGUUGCUUUGCCCCG